GACAACUUUUGACGGUGGAUCUCUUGGCUCACGUAUCGAUGAAGAACGCAGCCAGCUGCGACAUGUAGUGUGAAUUGCAGAAUUCAGUGAAUCAUUGAAUCUUGAACGCAAAUGGCGCUCUUGGGUUCUCCCAGGAGCAUGUCUGUCUGAGUGUCGGAUUUUAUCGAA
This 168-nucleotide ribosomal RNA is filed under the name Porites compressa. Its description in RNAcentral is "5.8S ribosomal RNA". It matches the Rfam family "5.8S ribosomal RNA". Rfam says of the family: 5.8S ribosomal RNA (5.8S rRNA) is a component of the large subunit of the eukaryotic ribosome. Lineage: Eukaryota; Metazoa; Cnidaria; Anthozoa; Scleractinia; Poritidae. The record is from RNAcentral.